RNAcentral lists this ribosomal RNA (479 nucleotides) under uncultured bacterium. RNAcentral describes it as "partial 16S ribosomal RNA". It matches the Rfam family "Bacterial small subunit ribosomal RNA", at positions 28 to 507 of the family's 1533-position model. The record is from RNAcentral.
GAUGAACGCUGGCGGCGUGCUUAACACAUGCAAGUCGAGCGAGAAGUUUUGACAAUAUUCUUCGGCUGAAAUUUCAAAUGGAAAGCGGCGGACGGAUGAGUAUCGCGUAGGCAACCUGCCCCCUACAAAGGACUAGCAUUUGGAAACGAAUAUUAAUCCCUUAUGAAACUGAACUAUGGCAUGCUAGGUAGGUCAAAGAUUUAUCGGUAUGGGAUGGGCCUGCGUCUGAUUAGCUAGUUGGUGAGGUAUCGGCUCACCAAGGCGACGAUCAGUAGCCGACCUGGGAGAGUGACCGGCCAGAGUGGAACUGAGACACGGUCCAAACUCCUGCGGGAGGAAGCAGUGGGGAAGAUUGCACAAUGGGGGAAUGCCUGAUGAAGCAACGCCGCGUGAACGAUGAAGGCCUGUGGGUCGUAAAGUUCUGUUGUAGGUGAUGAAGACUGACAGUAAUCUAGGAGAAAGCCCCGGCUAACUCCGUG